ACACCUGUGACACACUAACAAUGUAUCUACAAAGAGAAGAUAUAACGAACAAGAAGCGUUCAACAACCUCUACAAUAGAUACAAUACAUUAAGUAAAAUGGAGAGAAAUGAGGGUAUUUUUUUGGGGAAGAUGUGGUACAGGUCAGAGAUAUAAUUUUAAGAAAAACUUACCGAUUUUACCCUGUUUUUCAAUGAAAGUGUGUGCCAAAAAAGAGCAAAACCUGGAGCAACCAAUAUUGGAAUAUGAACAAUACCGCAAGAUGGUUUCUGCUUUCAAUUGUUGCUUUCAAGUCAUUGCUGCAAAUAGGUACCUCGUCCAAAAAGUAUACUCUCGAACAUUCAAAUCCAUGGACUCUCUCCAUGGAUGCUGUAUAUGUUAGGCGCCAUUUUUUGGAUGUAACGAGUGAGUCACCAGCUAGUCAUCAGCUACAAUUUUAGCGAUUUUUAAUAUUUUGUGUGUAGUGAACUUUGUAUAAUCUUUACUACAAUGGUGAUUAGUUGUUCAGCAUUGUUCAGCCUUCAAGUGUAAAGCCGCAUCGAUAAGAAAGAGCCAGGAGUUCCGUUUCCUAGGUAAAUAAACAGUCCACUCCA
Long non-coding RNA from Sitophilus oryzae (rice weevil), 591 nucleotides. RefSeq lists it as uncharacterized. The transcript is spliced from 2 exons. The record is from RefSeq and is a predicted model, not a curated record. Lineage: Eukaryota; Metazoa; Arthropoda; Insecta; Coleoptera; Curculionidae.